CUGUAUUAACUUGAUAAUAUCACAGAAUUUCUAAACCCCAGGACCUACAUCGCAAUACUUCCGGGAAUGCUUUGCGAAGCAGACUCGACCGACCAGUCAUGGGUUUGGGGUCUGCAAGUCAAUGGGAGAAGUGAAAAAUUCUUCCAUAGUUGUUAAUUUUCCUUAAAUCUAAAGGCACAGCCUAGAUUCAAGCCCAUGUCUGAAGUAGCUGAACAUGUUAUUUCUCCAACGUUGUGAAAGUGACAAACUGACACAUAUUCAUUUUCAUCAAAAACAACUUAAAGUCGAAGGAGUGCCUUUGAUUUGAUUGCCUGCACAUGUGCAGUUUGGCACGAGACUACCUUUAGGCCUGAUGACAUGUUUCUGCGCAUGAGCUUAGCCAACCAACGUCGCCAUGACAUCGCCUACAAGUAUUUCUAUUGGAGAAGCAGUUUCUAGAUAUCUUCAUACUGUACUGUCUUUGAUAGUAUUAAGUUAGUUUGAGUUCACUGUGUUCAGUCUGAGGUGUGUCUGUCUGUGUGUGUGCUAUGUGCAUGUGUUCGUGUGUGUGUGUGUGACUCCACAGAAGGGUCAGGGUGUGAUCGACGGGGAGGACCUGCAGGACAAGUGUUGUCAGUUUAACCUGGACCUGAGUGGGCCGGUGCUGGAUGACUUGAUGGAGUACUGUGACAUGGACAAAGAUGGACUCAUCAACUUUCAGGAGUUCGCCAACUUCCUCAACUGGAAGAACAAAAUGCCCGCCAGUAAAGUGGAGCAGCGCAUUCUGACUAGUGAGAGUAAGUCCAGCACGCCCCAGAUAACAUGCAGAGAGAGGCUCUCCCUGUGAGACCUGCAGCCUCAGAGGCUUUGGCCAGACCGGAGGACCGGGAACCUGCAGAGACUAUCGUAUGUACGGGACUCCCACAGUGUGCACCAACCUGGUGGCCCCGCGGAUCAAGAGCGUCAGCGACAGCACUAACUACGGUGACCAGACCACAGCAUUUGACUUCCUGUUUCCUACGCUGUACUCCCUAAGGGGAGUCCACAUGGAGCACUUCUUCUGUCCCCGCACCUAAGAGGAGAUCACUGACAUAUUCCGAAAUGUGGGCGCAAGUAUUUCCGAGGAGACAUUUGCGGAGGCGUAGAAGCUGGCAUCCAUGAGACACCCCACUGGGGACGUGUGUGGAGAUUUUCCAGGACGUUCUAAAGGAAAUUCAAGCUAAUUAAAUCUGAAUAGUAUCUUUUACCUCCUCAGUAUCUAUUCUGUGAAAGAAUGUACUUCAAGUGUUAUUAUUCUUUUUUUUUCUUUGAGACUAACUAUUAAUUGUCAUAUUAACGGUCAUUAAAAUUAUUUU
Long non-coding RNA from Oncorhynchus kisutch (coho salmon), 1334 nucleotides. RefSeq lists it as uncharacterized. The record is from RefSeq and is a predicted model, not a curated record. The transcript has 4 exons. Lineage: Eukaryota; Metazoa; Chordata; Actinopteri; Salmoniformes; Salmonidae.